Oryza sativa Indica Group (long-grained rice) is the source of this 205-nucleotide microRNA precursor. It matches the Rfam family "MIR812 microRNA precursor family". NCBI's taxonomy places the organism in Eukaryota, Viridiplantae, Streptophyta, Magnoliopsida, Poales, Poaceae. The record is from Rfam.
AAAAAGACAAACCAUGGAUUCCCGUGUCAACGUUUAAUUGUCCGUCUUAUAUGAAAUUUUUUUAUAAUUAGUAUUUUCAUUGUUGUUAGAUUAUAAAACAUGAUUAAUACUUUAUGUAUGACUUAUCUUUUUAAUUUUUUUCAUAUUUUUUCCAAAUAAGACGGACGGUCAAACGUUGGACACGAAAACCAGAGUUUGUCUUUUU